RNAcentral lists this ribosomal RNA (460 nucleotides) under uncultured bacterium. RNAcentral describes it as "partial 16S ribosomal RNA". It matches the Rfam family "Bacterial small subunit ribosomal RNA", at positions 338 to 795 of the family's 1533-position model. The record is from RNAcentral.
CCUACGUGCGGCAGCAGUGAGGAAUAUUGGUCAAUGGGCGCGAGCCUGAACCAGCCAAGUAGCGUGAAGGAUGACUGCCCUACGGGUUGUAAACUUCUUUUAUAAAGGAAUAAAGUGAGGCACGUGUGCCUUUUUGUGUGUACUUUAUGAAUAAGGAUCGGCUAACUCCGUGCCAGCAGCCGCGGUAAUACGGAGGAUCCGAGCGUUAUCCGGAUUUAUUGGGUUUAAAGGGAGCGUAGAUGGGUUGUUAAGUCAGUUGUGAAAGUUUGCGGCUCAACCGUAAAAUUGCAAUUGAUACUGGCAGUCUUGAGUACAGUUGAGGUAGGCGGAAUUCGUGGUGUAGCGGUGAAAUGCUUAGAUAUCGCGAAGAACUCCGAUUGCGAAGGCAGCUUCCUAAACUGCCACUGACAUUGAUGCUCGAAAGUGUGGGUAUCAAACAGGAUUAGAUACCCUUGUAGUC